Molecule: ribosomal RNA, 618 nt
Filed under: Staphylococcus aureus
Lineage: Bacteria; Bacillati; Bacillota; Bacilli; Caryophanales; Staphylococcaceae
Description: partial 23S ribosomal RNA
Rfam family: Bacterial large subunit ribosomal RNA
Source: RNAcentral
CGAACCGACUUACGUUGAAAAGUGAGCGGAUGAACUGAGGGUAGCGGAGAAAUUCCAAUCGAACCUGGAGAUAGCUGGUUCUCUCCGAAAUAGCUUUAGGGCUAGCCUCAAGUGAUGAUUAUUGGAGGUAGAGCACUGUUUGGACGAGGGGCCCCUCUCGGGUUACCGAAUUCAGACAAACUCCGAAUGCCAAUUAAUUUAACUUGGGAGUCAGAACAUGGGUGAUAAGGUCCGUGUUCGAAAGGGAAACAGCCCAGACCACCAGCUAAGGUCCCAAAAUAUAUGUUAAGUGGAAAAGGAUGUGGCGUUGCCCAGACAACUAGGAUGUUGGCUUAGAAGCAGCCAUCAUUUAAAGAGUGCGUAAUAGCUCACUAGUCGAGUGACACUGCGCCGAAAAUGUACCGGGGCUAAACAUAUUACCGAAGCUGUGGAUUGUCCUUUGGACAAUGGUAGGAGAGCGUUCUAAGGGCGUUGAAGCAUGAUCGUAAGGACAUGUGGAGCGCUUAGAAGUGAGAAUGCCGGUGUGAGUAGCGAAAGACGGGUGAGAAUCCCGUCCACCGAUUGACUAAGGUUUCCAGAGGAAGGCUCGUCCGCUCUGGGUUAGUCGGGUCCUAAGCU